UAAGCGGGCCGAACGGUCGCGGCAUGGCUCAGGCUGUGUCGAGGAAAGUCCGGGCUCCACAGGGCUGGACGCUUCGUAACGCGAAGGCGGAGUGAUCCGACGGAAAGUGGAACAGAAAAUACACAGCCUCUUCAGAGGCAAUGGUGAAAAGGUGCGGUAAGAGCGCACCAGCGUCAUGGUGACAUGGCGGCUUGCCAAACCCCGUCCGGAGCAAGUCCAAAUAGAGGACCUAUGGUGUUGCCCGCACCGGUCCCGGGUAGGAUGCUAGAGGCGUAUGGUGACAUGCGUCCCAGAUGAAUGACCGUUCAGAGGCGCUCAGGCGUUUCGGACAGAACCCGGCUUACAGGCCCGCUUCUUUU
This 359-nucleotide RNase P RNA is filed under the name Candidatus Hydrogenedens sp. RNAcentral describes it as "RNase P RNA component class A". It matches the Rfam family "Bacterial RNase P class A". Rfam says of the family: Ribonuclease P (RNase P) is a ubiquitous endoribonuclease, found in archaea, bacteria and eukarya as well as chloroplasts and mitochondria. Lineage: Bacteria; Pseudomonadati; Candidatus Hydrogenedentota; Candidatus Hydrogenedentia; Candidatus Hydrogenedentales; Candidatus Hydrogenedentaceae. The record is from RNAcentral.